ACGGGAGGCAGCAGUGGGGAAUAUUGGGCAUGGGCGAAAGCCUGACCCAGCAACGCCGCGUGAAGGAAGAAGGUCUUCGGAUUGUAAACCUCUUUUAUGAGGGACGAAGGACGUGACGGUACCUCAUGAAUAAGCCACGGCUAACUACGUGCCAGCAGCCGCGGUAAUACGUAGGUGGCAAGCGUUAUCCGGAUUUACUGGGUGUAAAGGGCGCGUAGGCGGGAAGGCAAGUCAGGUGUGAAAUCUAUGGGCUUAACCCAUAAACUGCACUUGAAACUGUCUUUCUUGAGUGCUGGAGAGGUAGACGGAAUUCCUUGUGUAGCGGUGAAAUGCGUAGAUAUCAGGAAGAACACCGGUGGCGAAGGCGGCCUGCUGGACGGUAACUGACGUUGAGGCUCGAAAGCGUGGGGAGCAAACAGGAUUAGAUACCCUGGUA
The sequence is a ribosomal RNA, 436 nucleotides long. It matches the Rfam family "Bacterial small subunit ribosomal RNA", at positions 341 to 792 of the family's 1533-position model.